GACGAACGCUGGCGGCGUGCUUAACACAUGCAAGUCGAACGGAAAGGCCCUGCUUUUGCGGGGUGCUCGAGUGGCGAACGGGUGAGUAACACGCGAGUAAACUGCCCUUGACUUUGGGAUAACUUCAGGAAACUCGGGCUAAUACCGGAUAGGAGCUCCUGCUGCAUGGUGUUGGUUGGAAAGUUUCGGCGGUUGGGGCUGGACUCGCGGCUUAUCCGCUUGUUGGUGGGGUAGUGGCUUACCAAGGCUUUGACGGGUAGCCGGCCUGAGAGGGUGAACGGCCACAUUGGGACUGAGAUACGGCCCAGACUCCUACGGGAGGCAGCAGUGGGGAAUAUUGCACAGUGGGCGGAAGCCUGAUGCAGCAACGCUGCGUGCGGGAUGACGGCCUUCGGGUUGUAAACCGCUUUCGCCUGUGACGAAGCGUGAGUGACGGUAAUGGGUAAAGAAGCACCGGCUAACUACGUG
RNAcentral lists this ribosomal RNA (468 nucleotides) under uncultured bacterium. RNAcentral's name for it is "partial 16S ribosomal RNA". It matches the Rfam family "Bacterial small subunit ribosomal RNA", at positions 28 to 507 of the family's 1533-position model. The record is from RNAcentral.